GAAAAGCUUCCACUCAGGGUAGUUGCCAGCUGCAAUUGAAUCAUAGAGGUCCUGAGUAGCAUGGCUAUGGUUACUUCCUCCAACGCGAAUAGCAUCUUCCUCCAGCAAGGACUUGACUCCACAGGUAGGCCUCCAGUGAAAUUUCACAUAAUGCGCUUUCCCUGCCUUGUUAAUCAGAGUAUAGGUGUUAACACCUGAACCGUCCAUGUGCCUGUAAUCUUGUGGAAUGCCAAUAUCAUCAAAUAGAAAUGUGAACAUGUUCAAACUUUCGGGAUGGUGAGAAAAGAAGUCAAGGAUCCUCCAAUUCUCUUGGAUGUGGGACUUCGGAUUUGGUUUGAGAGCAUGUACCAUGUCUGGAAAUUUCAUACCAUCACGGAUGAAAAAUACAGGGAAGUUGUUGCCCACAAGAUCAAAAUUG
This 418-nucleotide unclassified non-coding RNA is filed under the name Hevea brasiliensis (rubber tree). The record is from RNAcentral. Lineage: Eukaryota; Viridiplantae; Streptophyta; Magnoliopsida; Malpighiales; Euphorbiaceae.